UACGGAGGGUGCAAACGUUGCUCGGAAUUAUUGGGCGUAAAGAGCGUGUAGGCGGUCCGGUAAGUCCGCUGUGAAAGUCCAGGGCUCAACCCUGGAAUGCCGGUGGAUACUGCCGGGCUAGAGUCCGGAAGAGGCGAGUGGAAUUCCUGGUGUAGCGGUGAAAUGCGCAGAUAUCAGGAGGAACACCGAUGGCGAAGGCAGCUCGCUGGGACGGUACUGACGCUGAGACGCGAAAGCGUGGGGAGCAAACAGG
This 253-nucleotide ribosomal RNA is filed under the name uncultured bacterium. RNAcentral describes it as "partial 16S ribosomal RNA". It matches the Rfam family "Bacterial small subunit ribosomal RNA", at positions 524 to 776 of the family's 1533-position model. The record is from RNAcentral.